Molecule: unclassified non-coding RNA, 327 nt
Filed under: Yarrowia lipolytica
Lineage: Eukaryota; Fungi; Ascomycota; Dipodascomycetes; Dipodascales
Source: RNAcentral
AGACUUAACUACCAUGCCCAAAACACAGAAAUACAUGUGUGCAGAGUGCAGAUGUGUUUUCCUCAGCAUCGAUGGAUUCAACAAACAUACAAAGUGGUGCCAGGGCAGCACUUUGUGGGUUGUGGAGGAGGAGAGUGAGUGAUGGUGAGAGCACAAGUACUUAGUACGAUACAAUACGCGUACUUACAGUAACGAAGCUGUUUCAUUGGAUCUACAGUAACUAUGGAAGUACGAUAAAGUACCUACCGAACACAUCAUUAGUCUCGCUAGAUACGACCCGUAUGUACUAUCGUAUUGUAUGUACAUACUGUAGCCCUGAAUAAAUGA